Molecule: ribosomal RNA, 496 nt
Filed under: uncultured bacterium
Lineage: Bacteria
Description: partial 16S ribosomal RNA
Rfam family: Bacterial small subunit ribosomal RNA
Source: RNAcentral
GAUGAACGCUGGCGGCGUGCCUAAUACAUGCAAGUCGAGCGAACAGACGAGGAGCUUGCUCCUCUGACGUUAGCGGCGGACGGGUGAGUAACACGUGGAUAACCUACCUAUAAGACUGGGAUAACUUCGGGAAACCGGAGCUAAUACCGGAUAAUAUAUUGAACCGCAUGGUUCAAUAGUGAAAGACGGUUUUGCUGUCACUUAUAGAUGGAUCCGCGCCGCAUUAGCUAGUUGGUAAGGUAACGGCCUACCAAGGCAACGAUGCGUAGCCGACCUGAGAGGGUGAUCGGCCACACUGGAACUGAGACACGGUCCAGACUCCUACGGGAGGCAGCAGUAGGGAAUCUUCCGCAAUGGGCGAAAGCCUGACGGAGCAACGCCGCGUGAGUGAUGAAGGUCUUCGGAUCGUAAAACUCUGUUAUUAGGGAAGAACAAAUGUGUAAGUAACUAUGCACGUCUUGACGGUACCUAAUCAGAAAGCCACGGCUAACUACGU